This 126-nucleotide unclassified non-coding RNA is filed under the name Photobacterium kishitanii. RNAcentral's name for it is "yybP-ykoY". The stretch from base 11 to 105 matches the Rfam family "Manganese Mn2+ riboswitch aptamer (yybP-ykoY)". From Rfam's summary of the family: This RNA was originally discovered in E. coli during a large scale screen and was named SraF. Lineage: Bacteria; Pseudomonadati; Pseudomonadota; Gammaproteobacteria; Vibrionales; Vibrionaceae. The record is from RNAcentral.
ACCCAUUCCUUUGGGGAGUAGCCUCUCGCAGCUUGCGAGAUAAUUAUCAACAUAAUCGAAGCAAAAUCUUCGUGGUAAUUAUGAUUUAUCCAACGCGAUAAAUUUGGCAAGACCAACGGCAAACAG